RNAcentral lists this ribosomal RNA (659 nucleotides) under Stenotrophomonas sp. 99(2010). RNAcentral describes it as "bacterial SSU rRNA". It matches the Rfam family "Bacterial small subunit ribosomal RNA", at positions 74 to 726 of the family's 1533-position model. Lineage: Bacteria; Pseudomonadati; Pseudomonadota; Gammaproteobacteria; Lysobacterales; Lysobacteraceae. The record is from RNAcentral.
AGGAGCUUGCUCCUUGGGUGGCGAGUGGCGGACGGGUGAGGAAUACAUCGGAAUCUACUUUUUCGUGGGGGAUAACGUAGGGAAACUUACGCUAAUACCGCAUACGACCUACGGGUGAAAGCAGGGGACCUUCGGGCCUUGCGCGAUUGAAUGAGCCGAUGUCGGAUUAGCUAGUUGGCGGGGUAAAGGCCCACCAAGGCGACGAUCCGUAGCUGGUCUGAGAGGAUGAUCAGCCACACUGGAACUGAGACACGGUCCAGACUCCUACGGGAGGCAGCAGUGGGGAAUAUUGGACAAUGGGCGCAAGCCUGAUCCAGCCAUACCGCGUGGGUGAAGAAGGCCUUCGGGUUGUAAAGCCCUUUUGUUGGGAAAGAAAUCCAGCCGGCUAAUACCUGGUUGGGAUGACGGUACCCAAAGAAUAAGCACCGGCUAACUUCGUGCCAGCAGCCGCGGUAAUACGAAGGGUGCAAGCGUUACUCGGAAUUACUGGGCGUAAAGCGUGCGUAGGUGGUUGUUUAAGUCUGUUGUGAAAGCCCUGGGCUCAACCUGGGAACUGCAGUGGAAACUGGACAACUAGAGUGUGGGAGAGGGUAGCGGAAUUCCCGGUGUAGCAGUGAAAUGCGUAGAGAUCGGGAGGAACAUCCAUGGCGAAGGCAGCU